RNAcentral lists this ribosomal RNA (450 nucleotides) under uncultured bacterium. RNAcentral describes it as "partial 16S ribosomal RNA". It matches the Rfam family "Bacterial small subunit ribosomal RNA", at positions 354 to 796 of the family's 1533-position model. The record is from RNAcentral.
GUGGGGAAUUUUGGACAAUGGGCGCAAGCCUGAUCCAGCAAUGCCACGUGCAGGAAGAAGGCCUUCGGGUUGUAAACUGCUUUUGUACGGAACGAAACGGUCCUGGUUAAUACCUGGGGCUAAUGACGGUACCGUAAGAAUAAGCACCGGCUAACUACGUGCCAGCAGCCGCGGUAAUACGUAGGGUGCGAGCGUUAAUCGGAAUUACUGGGCGUAAAGUGUGCGCAGGCGGUUUUGUAAGACAGGCGUGAAAUCCCCGGGCUUAACCUGGGAAUUGCGCUUGUGACUGCAAGGCUGGAGUGCGGCAGAGGGGGAUGGAAUUCCGCGUGUAGCAGUGAAAUGCGUAGAUAUGCGGAGGAACACCGAUGGCGAAGGCAAUCCCCUGGGCCUGCACUGACGCUCAUGCACGAAAGCGUGGGGAGCAAACAGGAUUAGAAACCCGAGUAGUCC